CUUAUGAUAAAGCUGUGGCUUCCUUUAAGCAUGCUCUAAAGAACGGUGACAUUUGUGAAACUCCAGAUAAGCCAAAAGGCACAGCCAGAAGAAAACCUGCCAAGAAGAAUAAAAGCCAAAAGAAGAAUGCCACAACUCCCUUGAAACAGAAUGAAAGUCAAGUUUCCACAGACGACAGUGAACACUCCUCCAGAUCGCUCAGAAGUAAAGCACACAGCAAGUCCAAAGCUGCUCCGUGGACCUCAUUUCUUCCUCCACCACCCCCAAUGCCAGGGUCAGGAUUAGGACCAGGAAAGAGUGAUGAUUCUGACAUUUGGGAUGAUA
Molecule: small RNA, 324 nt
Filed under: Mus musculus (house mouse)
Lineage: Eukaryota; Metazoa; Chordata; Mammalia; Rodentia; Muridae
Source: RNAcentral